This 609-nucleotide ribosomal RNA is filed under the name Heterorhabditis indica. RNAcentral describes it as "partial large subunit ribosomal RNA". It matches the Rfam family "Eukaryotic large subunit ribosomal RNA", at positions 380 to 968 of the family's 3401-position model. Lineage: Eukaryota; Metazoa; Nematoda; Chromadorea; Rhabditida; Heterorhabditidae. The record is from RNAcentral.
UUUGAGAUUCAGAAUAACGUGAAAUCGCUGAAGUGGAACCGGAGAGAGUUAACAUAACUUGGUAGCUAUAUUCUCUAUAGUCGCUUAGCUGUGGCUUUGGGGGGUGGACGCUACCUGUUGUUGCGCUGACUGCGUUGAUCAUGCUUUCCUAACAAUGUAGUGUUGCCCACAUUGUGGUGUCUUGCUUAUUGGGAGGUUUGUCAUGGUUAACGUCAAGCCUUAGUUUCUAGGGAGUCAGUGUGAAAGUUAACCACCUUUCCCACCCGUCUUGAAACACGGACCGAGGAGUGUAAUUUACACGCGAGUCAAAGGGCUGAGGAAACCUUAUGGCAUAAUGAAAGUAAAGACCGGUUAACCGGUUGACAUGGGAUCCGACUGAACUUCUUCAAAACGGAGCACCAUGGCCCUGUCUUGUCUGCUUGCAGAUGGGCAGCGGUAGAGCGUGUAGGUUGCGACCCGAAAGAUGGUGAACUAUGCUUGAGCAGGACAAAGCCAGAGGAAACUCUGGUGGAAGUCCGUAUCGGUUCUGACGUGCAAAUCAAUCGAUAGACUUGAGUAGAGGGGCGAAAGACUAAUCGAACCGUCUAGUAGCUGGUUCCUUCAAAAAAA